RNAcentral lists this ribosomal RNA (253 nucleotides) under uncultured bacterium. RNAcentral's name for it is "partial 16S ribosomal RNA". It matches the Rfam family "Bacterial small subunit ribosomal RNA", at positions 524 to 776 of the family's 1533-position model. The record is from RNAcentral.
UACGUAGGGGGCAAGCGUUGUCCGGAUUUAUUGGGCGUAAAGAGCGUGUAGGCGGCUUUACAGGUCCGUUGUGAAAACUCGAGGCUCAACCUCGAGACGCCGGUGGAAACCGUAAAGCUAGAGUCCGGAAGAGGAGAGUGGAAUUCCUGGUGUAGCGGUGAAAUGCGCAGAUAUCAGGAGGAACACCCGUGGCGAAGGCGGCAUCCUGGACCGGCAUUGACGCUGAGGCGCGAAAGCCAGGGGAGCAAACGGG